GAAAGCCUCCGUUCCUCCUGAGGUUACUGUCUGUCCUGGUUCGACAUCCUGCCUUACAACUGACUUCAUGCUAGAAACCUGGCACUUGAUGUAUCACUCAUGUGCCUGUGAGCCCAUGUUUAUGUGGAAACGGUGUGCGUGGACGUUCUUGGUCACACCUUGGGAAGAGAAGAAGCCAGCGAUCUUGUACUGUACGCAGCUACCAUCAGAAUUUAGUCACUGGACUUUAAUCUGUUUAUCCAACUAUUCUCUGAGGAACCACAUCUGGAAAUCCAUAGAACAUCCCACAGGCUAGGUGGCUGAUUCCAAAAGAGGAGUUCCAGAAAUAAUUUGCACAGUGACAUUUCUGGAAUGUCGGAAAAGCCUCCCAAAGUGACUGCUUUGAGGGAAACAUUCUCAAAUUACAUGUACCUUCUUCUUACUCUGGUGUUCAAGACACUUCAUCUAUUUCGUUAACAAGUCAUUCUAGGGAAAAAGAAGCCCUGUGAACUGAGUGUGAGUGACAAAGACUUACCUUCCAGCUCCUCCACCAAACGAAAGGCCAGCAGAGUUCAUUCCUGCCAGGACGUAGUAGCCCUUAACCAAAGGAGACUCGCCCAUGAUGCACCUCAUGUCUGGCGUGAAGGUCUCGGGGCAAUUGACCAACUUCACAAUCUCCAGCGUCUCCAGGUCUGGCAUCCUACGCAGGAAGGAGCUCAACAGGGGCUCUGAGCAAUAAAAAUAGCCAAACAGAGUCCUCAGCUCAGGGAAUUCAAACUUCCAACUCCUCAUACUUUCUAACUCCUCCCUCUCCUUUCAUAAAAUCUCUUGGAAGAGGUUUUCUAAGAAGAGCAGCGGGGCCAUUGACCAGAGAGCAGACCCUUGCUGGAAUUAUGGAACACACCUAUGAGGUGCUUGGCAUGCAGACCGACAAAGAAGAUGCUGUGGAAGAGCAAACACGUUACAGAUGAGGAUCUCAAAGGGCUCAGUGCUAAAGCUCUCACGGGGCGCCCGAGGGAGAUGCAAUGAAGGGCAGGUUCCCUAAGCUGGCAUGGCUGCAAGGACAGAUGCUCAGUCUGUUUUAAAUUGAGUCCAUCAUCUGUGAGCAGUCAGUGGGGCAGUGGUCACAGAUGACACCAGACUGUGGAGCUGGCUGGUGGGUAAGUUUGAUAUUUCUCCUAAGAAAGUAGGUUUACAGUUGUAUGUAAAACACACAGUUUAUUCUUAUUUCCUUACUAGAGGCCCGGUACACGAAAUUUGUGCACUCGAGGGUCCCUCAGCCGGGCCAGCGCCCUCUCACAGGCUGGGAGCCCUUGGGGCACCACACUGCUGCUGCAUUCUGGCUUCUGGCUGAGCAGCGCUCCCGCUGUGGGAGCACACUGAUCACCAGGGGGCGGCUCCUGCAUUGAGCAUCUGCCUCUGCUGGUCAGUGCACAUCAUAGCAACCAGUCGUUCCACCAUUCAGUCGAUUUGCAUAUUAGCCUUUUAUUAUAUAGGAUUUGAAUUAUAACUGUAAACCUAUUUUUGCCCACACCUGUAAUUUAAAAAUAUAUUAAAGAUGGAGGGAAACUCUUCA
Eptesicus fuscus (big brown bat) is the source of this 1555-nucleotide long non-coding RNA. RefSeq lists it as uncharacterized. The transcript is spliced from 2 exons. Lineage: Eukaryota; Metazoa; Chordata; Mammalia; Chiroptera; Vespertilionidae. The record is from RefSeq and is a predicted model, not a curated record.